CGUAAUUCUAUUCCAUAAGUGGUUCUACUCUUAGCGGUUAAGGAUGUCUAUGUUAAUCGUUCCGAUAAAGUAAUAUUCAAGCAUGUGCAGGUCCUCUUUGUUGUCUGAUACACUUUGUUGCUUCAGUUUGACUAGUAUUAUUAGACUUAUCUUACUGAAAAGGUGAACCAGAUAUGUGAGCUCGAUGAUGUUUUUCUUUUUAUUUAACUAUAUAACAAGUGAAAGUACCUUGGACGACCAAGGGUACUUUCGGUAUUAUUCUAUUAUUUUAGGGGCGACUUGGUAAUUUAGUAGAUCUGACUCAUGUAGCUUCCAAACCAUGUGCACGUGUGCAUUUUGACAGACCACUUAAUUUGGUUACAUUGGUUUCUUCUCCAAUUUCUCUGUCGUUUGCUCCCUCUUUUCUGGUGAGUUCUUCUUCUUCCUACUUCCCUUUUUGCUCAAUUUUUGUUCUAAAUGUUUUGAUUUGUGUUCUUAGUCCUUUAUAUUUUUAUCAUUUACUUCUUUAUGUGUUUGUUAUAUGCUUUUUUUAUUCUUUUUGGAAUCUCUUGUGACUGUUUCAGUUUUAUCGCUACCAAAUAGCAGGGAAAUGGAAGAAUACCAGGAAAGUAGUUUUUUUUUGUUCCGUUGCGUUUCCCUUUGUUUUUCGAACAUGCACCACAGGUUCUCACCAAAUUGUAUUAGCAAGGGAAGCCGAAGUGAAUUAUACAGUACUUAAUUGGGAUAUAUUUGUGCCUCAUGUGUUCCAAUCCCGUUCGAAAGCUAUUCUUUGCUGUUGCAUGUGUUAGCUUGGUGAUACAUGAUUCAGGAAGUAUGAUUUCUUUUUUAUUAAUUUUUUUCUUGUUUUUGAUUUUCUUCAAUUGUGAUCCUAUCAUUGAUUUUGUUGCUGGCUUCAGUUUUUAGUACCAUUUUCUUGCUGAAUUUUGGUUUGAUUUACUCGAUAUUCAGCAAUUUUUGUAUUUUGUUCUAAUGAAUCAGAUUCGACAUUAUUAUGAGAAUGUCAUGCAAAGUAGCCAAAUAUUCAGUUCGAGACGAGUAUUACACGUUAAAUUAUACACAUAUACAGUAGGUUCACUUUUCACUGGCAAUGAAUGGUUAUUGUUUCUGAAUAGCCGCAUCGAAAAUGAGACAACUACACGUUAAACUACUGAUAUACGUCAUUGAUCCAAAAGAUCCUUGCUCUAGCUCUAGAUCAAUAAUUUUCAACUAAAUGAUGAGAGGUUUAGCUAUUUGCCUAAGUACUUCAAUCUAAUUAAUCAUAGGAUGGUUUAAAUUUUCUGUUUAACCAAAAGAACAAAAUCAAGGGAGUUCGUGAAUGAUUCGAAAGACCAUUUGUACUCUUAUCAGCUGCUUUGAUCCACAUUAAUUUUUGGAUAUCUCAGAGAAUUGUUGUCAUUGCCAUCGAGCAUACAAGAACGACAAACCCAAUGUAAGGGAUUUUCAUUUGACCUUCUUUUUGCCCCUUCAUCCUCCACUGAUUACUUUGCUUAGGAAAUCUUCUUUCAAGCAUCUGAUAUCAAUUGCUAAUAGUAGUAGUUACUCUAAAAUUAGAAGUUUCCUUAAGUUUACUCCUUUGAUAUGACGUACGGCUCAUAUUUAAAUUGUUAUAGGUCAGUUUAGAGAUGUAAUUCGUCCAAAAUGUGCGCGUGGACCACAAGUGUGCAAAAAUGUUACCAUCUAUAGUUAUUGUCACAGAUGUCAUUUAAAGAAGGCAGCAAAGUUCAUCGUCUAUAGCUUUCUCUGUCAGUUUGCUGCUUAUCAAGGAUGGAACUAGGCUUCACUUGAUUAUUAGAAAGCCCAGGUUGCUCAUCAAUUCGCGGGGAUGCCUUUACAGAGUUGGGAUCAUUCUUUCCCACAAGUGAUAAUUGAGGUCUUUGGAGAAAUUCAAAAUCAUGGAGUAAAGCUAGAGGGGAAAAAGAGCUCAGCUACAAUAGGCUGGUCAUACUCAAAUACAAGUUGUGACUAUUCGUGAUGCAAAAACUGGUAAAAGGAAUACCAGCAAAGAUGUUAUGAUCAAACAUUUGUUGCAAUGGAUAUGCAUAUAUUCAUGAUGGAAUGGUUGAAAAAAUUUCGAGCACUCAGAUCAAGGGAACUAUACCUGACAUGAGAAAAGUUAUGCAGCAGAUGAAUCCUGUCAUAGUGAAUCUCACUCAAUUGUGAUUGACAUUAAUUAUGCAGUUAACAGGAGAAAUGUAUUAUUUAUUCAGGUAGAGCUACAGUUAUCACCGGUUGGGCAGUUAUGCAUCACUAUUUACCAUCGGUCGGGCAGUCAUGCAUUUACCACCGAGCUACGGUCAGUCGAGCAGUUACAUAUUACUAUCGAGCUACGGCCGUCCGAGCAGUCAUUCAUUUGCCACCGUGCGACGGCUUGUCAGGCAGUUAACGCCACGAGAAUAAUGUGUAGAUAGGCGAGGUGAGGACCAUCCACUGUAGGCUGCCUCCAGAUAUAAGCUUUUGGUUGGUGAGCUCCACAUCUUCCUGGAGUAUUGCCGAGUCACAUUCUAUAUAUGUUACUUUGUUUUAUGAAGAUGUCGGAGACCCUGUCCCGACUUAUAUAUUAUGAUCAUGUUUUCUUAGAGGUUUUGCAGACAGUGUCCUGUGCAUAGCUUUAGGUAUGAUAUGUCAACGGCCUUAUCGGUCAUGUAUCUAUAUAAAAUCUUUUUGAAUUAUAUA
This is an RNA transcript of Nicotiana attenuata, 2673 nucleotides long. RefSeq lists it as uncharacterized. Lineage: Eukaryota; Viridiplantae; Streptophyta; Magnoliopsida; Solanales; Solanaceae. The record is from RefSeq and is a predicted model, not a curated record. The transcript is spliced from 6 exons.